UCGAACGCUGGCGGCAUGCCUUACACAUGCAAGUCGAACGGUAGAGGGGCAACCCUUGAGAGUGGCGAACGGGUGAGUAAUGCAUCGGAACGUGCCCAGUCGUGGGGGAUAACGCAGCGAAAGCUGUGCUAAUACCGCAUGUGAUCUGUGGAUGAAAGCAGGGGACCGCAAGGCCUUGUGCGAUUGGAGCGGCCGAUGUCAGAUUAGCUAGUUGGUAGGGUAAAAGCCUACCAAGGCGACGAUCUGUAGCUG
Molecule: ribosomal RNA, 252 nt
Filed under: uncultured bacterium
Lineage: Bacteria
Description: partial 16S ribosomal RNA
Rfam family: Bacterial small subunit ribosomal RNA
Source: RNAcentral